CCUACGGGGUGCAGCAGUGGGGAAUAUUGGGCAAUGGGCGCAAGCCUGACCCAGCAACGCCGCGUGAAGGAAGAAGGCUUUCGGGUUGUAAACUUCUUUUCUGAGGGACGAAGAAAGUGACGGUACCUCAGGAAUAAGACACGGCUAACUACGUGCCAGCAGCCGCGGUAAUACGUAGGUGGCAAGCGUUAUCCGGAUUUAUUGGGUGGAAAGGGCGUGUAGGCGGGACAGCAAGUCAGAUGGGAAAACUCAGGGCUCAACCCGGAGCCUGCAUUUGAAACGGUUUUUCUUGAGUGCUGGAGAGGCAAUCGGAAUUCCGGGUGUAGCGGUGAAAUGCGUAGAUAUACGGAGGAACACCAGGGGCGAAGGCGGAUUGCUGGACAGUAACUGACGCUGAGGCGCGAAAGCGUGGGGAGCAAACAGGAUUAGAUACCCUAGUAGUC
Molecule: ribosomal RNA, 443 nt
Filed under: uncultured bacterium
Lineage: Bacteria
Description: partial 16S ribosomal RNA
Rfam family: Bacterial small subunit ribosomal RNA
Source: RNAcentral